CUGAUACGUCCCCUACCCGGGGACCAUAUAUUAAAUUGAUUUUUGGAACAGGGAGAUGGAAUAGGGGCUUGCUCCGUCCACUCCACGCAUCGACCCGGUAUUGCAGUACCUCCGGGAACGGUGCACCCCCC
RNAcentral lists this small nuclear RNA (131 nucleotides) under Astyanax mexicanus (Mexican tetra). RNAcentral describes it as "U2 spliceosomal RNA (ENSAMXG00005010739.1)". It matches the Rfam family "U2 spliceosomal RNA", at positions 61 to 192 of the family's 192-position model. From Rfam's summary of the family: U2 is a small nuclear RNA (snRNA) component of the spliceosome (involved in pre-mRNA splicing). Complementary binding between U2 snRNA (in an area lying towards the 5' end but 3' to hairpin I) and the branchpoint sequence (BPS) of the intron results the bulging out of an unpaired adenosine, on the BPS, which initiates a nucleophilic attack at the intronic 5' splice site, thus starting the first of two transesterification reactions that mediate splicing. Lineage: Eukaryota; Metazoa; Chordata; Actinopteri; Characiformes; Acestrorhamphidae. The record is from RNAcentral.